GGAUAUCUGAGUUGAACGCAGGAGACAGCACCAGCCCUCUUUAGAGCUCUGGAGGUUUGCAUACUUAAGUGAGACUGGUCCUUGGAGAAGAUGGAGCAGGUUCCGAAGGUCCGGGCUACUGGCGGUUCGAGCGGUUCAGCUCAGAAGACGACUGAAGUCAGCCGAAGGAUGAGCCAGGAGUUGCAGCACUCGGGCCCGAAGCAAAGCCAGCGCCUGUGGAUCCUGUGGAUGCUCGUUUGGGUACUUCUUUGGUCUCACUCAAAAACUCUGGCACAGAGGAUGACCUGGGCCUGCUGGGUUGCGUUCAGAGGUGACUUUGAAAAUCACGCAGAUAACUCAGAAAAACGAGACUCGAGCAGAGAAAACUUUCAAAAAUGGCUUCACGAAAUUAAAGAAAAAUCAAUCAAAGGCUUAAUCUUGAAUUGCUAUGCGCACAAAAAGUUGAAGUUUCAAAACUUGAACUAAGACGAUGUUAAAGAAAAAUCAACGUGAAUCAACACGUGGCGUAAAACUUAGUAGACUAAGAAAAAGUUCUAAGAGAAAACAAAGAAACGCACCACAGAAGGGUGUGGGCAGAAGAGAAGGGCCCAAGAGUACGGGGCAUAAGAGUAGAAGGGAAUAAGAGUGAACAAGAAGGUCAGCAGAAGAGAGUGAGCAACCCCACUUCACUGGUUUUAUCUUCUCACACUGGGAGUGUCUCUGGCGUGUGUGUGUGAGACAGAGGAGGGGUCGUGGAAUCUCUGAUUAUUUGAUCUAACUUAUUCUUUUGGCUGGUAAAAGAGUCAGAUCUGAUACUCACUCACUAUGAUUAAUAUCAUUGAAUGCUUGGUUUCAUGAUAAAUAAUUUGAUACUAAACACAUAUGAAUGAAGUGUAGGAUCACAUCAAACAUUCUCAUUAUGUUUUAAGUAUCACAUUGAACAUGCUAAAUUACUCUGAAAUGAAACAGAUAGUAACACAUGGAAACUGUGAACAACAAAAGAGUAAACACAUGUGAAUGAACUUCAUCAUGAUUAAUAAUGGAUUCUAAAUACUCACAUUAAGGUUAUUCAAUGACAUUAUAACCACCUAAUGGUUAAAAAUACUAAAUAAACAACUACAAUAUAAACCAAACAUUUCUAAACUGUUUCUGUUACCUAGAGUUAAGUUAUGAUUCAUGGUCGAUAAAUUUAACUCUUAAAAGUUCAUGAAACAGUCUGAAAAGCUGUUGGUCUAAAGAAACUAAAGAGCGAUAACUCGGCUUCUGGAGCACAUAGAAAAACGGGAAACAUCUCAUUUUAACACAAAUUUCAUGAUUAGACAGAUUAGUACAUUGCUGAAUGCAUAAGAUGUCAUGAUCAGUCAUUUGUAUUCUUUCACCAACGGAAUGUAGUCUUUAUCAGUGCAUGGUCGAGCAGGGUUUUACGACCGAGGUCUGGAGGUCAGUGUCCCCCCUUAUCCUGGGGUCCGUAUGUUCACACACUUUAAGACGCUAAAUCUCAAAUGGGAGAUCUGGGUUGAGGUUAAUGUUUAUUUAGAUGGUCAGCGAUGGAGUCAGUUUGAAAGGUAAUAAAAACUCUGUCUCUGUUCUCCGAAUCGACCAAUCGUGAAGAGUCAGAGGUUUAGUCAACCUCCGGUUGGGUCACUUAUUUAACCUGAAAGUGUAAACGAGUCUGGAAAGAUUUAUAUCCUGUUUCCUGGGACCAGAUAAGGAAACUUUCCUCUGAGGAAUGUGUGGGUUUCACACCCAGGGUUGUCUUGAUUGCUACACACCAAAUAUCAGGGCUGCACGAUAUCAGAAACACAGUUGGGUUUUUUUAAGAAUAAAUACAGGACACAUCAAGGAUCAAACCAGAGAAUCACAGUGUUUUAUAAUUUUGUUUCAUCGAGAACUUUAAAAAACAAAGGUUCAUAAACUACCUUGACAGAAAAGCAAAAGCACAACAGAGUAAAAACUGAAAAACCCAGACCCACUGAAAACACAACAUAGUAAUCACAGAUUGUUCCCAAGUCCAGGGUCUCGAACAGAAAAAGCACCAACUCAGGAAUUCCUUUACCUUUAAGCCUCAAAUUUGGAAGGACCUGGAGGUUCCUACAAGAAAAUCCAAGGCUCAGAAGGGGUCAGCAGUUCUAAAAUUUAACUCAGUCAAUCCAGACAUGCUCACAGGGGCUGAGACCAGGGUGAUGUGAUACCAUCUGUUUAAGCCAAUUGAGAAGCUAAGCUGUUGCAUUCUGAGCUGCCGAGGGAGUAAGUUAAGGUUCAUACCUGGAAAGUGCUGACUCUUACAGUAAAUAGCAUGCCACCUCAGACCUCAGCAUCAGCUGAUUUUUGUCUCAUUGACAUUGACAGAUUUUAAACUAUUUAUCAUCAAGGUAUGAUCAUGCUUCCUUAACUGACCUCUUUGCUGCUGCUGGUACUCAUUUUAAGGGUUAACACUUAAACAUAAAAAAGCUCUUCUCUGAUUGGCCAAUAAAAGUAUUCUUGCCAGCUGCAGCAAUCUUCUCCUUCCUGCUGUGGACACAUGGGGCUAAUUUACAGCUCAGGAGCUCAGAUUCACCUUCAAAGUUAAUUCCAGCCGGCUCCUCUGCCUCUGUCACCUUCAAUUAUUAUCUCUGCUCUUUGCGGAGAGGUCACAGCGGAGGUCACCAACCCGCCGCUGACGUCUCCAGCAGGAAGUGGUUGUCCAACUGGCUCCGGUCUCUCUUGACUGUGACCCCUGGUGCCCUACAGGUGUGUUUUUCAGGUCAUCCUGCCAAUUAGAAAGCUCAUGUGUAUGCAGAGGCAGCAAUGCUCAUUAAACUAAUAUGAAUGCAAUUUUACUGGCCAGAUAAACAGGGUUUUUAAAUAGUAAAAAAGCAGAGAUCAUUCUGAGCUCCUCUGCAGCAUGUCCUGAUUAUUCACUUUUUAAUUGGUCUGAAGUUUGCAGGAACGUCAGGAGUUGUGAAAUUCACUCCAGUUUAUGACACCUUCUUAUCUGGAGAGUGUUUAAACCGGAGUUGUUGGCAUGUGCUUACAUACAAUAAGUCAGAUCAGUGUCCACAUUUCAAUGGGGGCAAAGCAGCAACUGGGUCAAAACACUCGUCGCCAAUUGGGGGUGGGGGGGUGGGUCUUCAGUUUUUUGCCUUUGAUUCAAAUUAUUUUGCAACAUCUCACCACUGUACUAAGAUACUCUGAUAAUGCUGGACCCCAGAAAUACCAAUCUAACAUUAAUACAUCUAUAUUAAAGGUCAACACUAGGUCCACAUUUCAAGGUCCUCUAAAGCAGGGUUCCUGGUUCAUGAUGAUUUAAAGGUUACCUAAAGCAAUCCAAAUCAAUUUAUUGUUUGUCCAUGAUUUCCAAAAAGAAUGUCAGGUUGUGAUCCAUCAGACCAUCAGAGAGGUCUUUGGGUUCCUCUCAAAUAAAGGUUUUAAAUGUUUUGUAACUAUCAGAAUCAGUUUAGGUUACAGAUGCAGAUAACCAACAUUAGAGUUGGCAUAAAGAGAGGAGCCAAAAAGAAGUUAAAAAAGCCUGAUUCUUUGAGUCCCUGCACACCUUGCUGUGCUAAGCGUCCAUGAUUGAGUGUCUGAAAAAAGGCUGAAAGGAUGUCAGACCGUUUCUCCUUUAUGGAGAGGUAAGAUGAUGUUUUCAGGAGCUGGCAGCACUUCUUUUCCUCUUUUGGUCUUCAGAGAGUCAUCUGUAUUAAAGGUCUGUGAUCAUCCUGAGAGACAGCUAAUACAAUUUUCUCUCUUUCCACCAAGACGACUGUCUUCAGAAGACACAGAUCCAGUUUUUACACCAAUAAACCAACUCAGUAAGAAGCUCCAACAUUCGGAUAAACCAAACCAGAGACUCUCUUGAAGAUACUUAUUGAUAUGAGUGGAGAAUCACAGACUGAUAGUAAAUCUCAUCAAUCACAGGGGGUAUUUUGUCUUAAACAAGUUCUUGGCCAGUAAAAUAAGAGUUAAAGGAUGCUUGGUGUGGGUUUGGAAAUUAUCAUUCAGAGAGACAAUAACCAGUUAUACUAGGUAACCUUUUUAAGGGUGUUCCACAGGGCUCCUGGGUCUUUUUUUUACCAUCUACAUAAAGGAUGUUGUCUCCAUGCUCUCAAACUGUCAAACAGUCUAUAUGCAGAUGACACCUGAAGAAGUAGAGGCCUUUACUGACCAUAUCAACACAGUGGACAGCAACAUCAAAUUCCGUGAAGAUGUUAAGGACGAUGUGUUGGCCUUUUUGGACUGUGCUGUACACUUGAAGGCAGACGGGUGUCUCAACGUUGAAGUUUACAGGAAACCCACACACACAGAUCAAUAUCUAUUUUUUGAUUCCCACCAUCCUCUACAACACAAACUGGGUGUCAUCAGAACACUCAACCACCGGGGUGAGAACAUUCCCACGAAGAAAGAAGGUGAGGAAAGGAACAGAAGCACAUCAAAAAUGCCCUGACAACCUGUGGAUACCCUAAGUGGGCCUUUGUGAAGAACAAAAAGAAUAAUAACACUGAACACGAAAGGGAGGAGAGACGCAAGAGCACUGUAAUCCCUUACGUUGCAGGCCUGUCGGAAAAACUCAAGAGGAUCUUUGGCAAACACCAUAUUCCUGUUCAUUUCAAGCCUGGCAACACACUAAUUGCAGAGGCUAGUCCAUCCCAAGGACAAAACACCGAGACAUAAACAGAGUAAUGUGAUGUAUGCUGUCUAGUGCAGCGAGGAAUGCUCGGACCUGUACAUUGGGGAAACUAAACAACCGCUUCACAAGCGCAUGGCUCAUCACAGGAGAGCCACUUCCUCAGGUCAGGACUCAGCUGUCCACCUUCACUUGAAGGACAUGGGUCACUCUUUCGAGGACAGCAAUAUACAGGUGCUGGCUAGAGAAGACAGAUGGUUUGAAAGAGGAGUUAAAGAAGCCAUCUUUACCAGGCUGGAGAAACCUUCUCUGAACAGAGGGGGUGGACUCAGGCACAAUCUCUCUGGCACUUACAAUGCAGUUCUCAGCUCUCUCCCCAGGAAGCUCCACAAACACUCACCCCAGGGACCACAUGACCCAGGUUUCGUGGUCACAUGACAGGGGUCAUUAACGACCCUUUUAGGUUAACGAUUGGGGGGGGGGGGGGCACACCCGAAGAUGGGUUUCUACGACCCAACCCCUCCCAGCUGUUGUCUGUCCCCUUCUCCAGUAAGAUAAAUAUCUGCUCCUCACACUACCAAUAAUGAGAACUGAAGAAGCUUCUUGGAUAAGAGGCGAAACGUCUUCUCAACUCUACACAGUCCAGUUGCCUGAUUAUGGAGUCAACCAUGACCUGGAUGAAUGAGAAUCUACAUGGAUGAUCUGUUUGAUAAUUACAGUCUUUUUCCCCCUUUACUAUUUGUCUUUUCUUUCACUUCCAUGUGAUUAUUUUUUUCUCAUUUGAUAAUUUUUGUGGACUCUAACCAGUCUCUUGUCUUUACUCUAUGCAUGUUUUGUGAACUGCCUUUGUAAUAUCUCUGAAAAUAAUCUCUUAAGUCUACACCAAGUGGAAUGAAUGAACAAGUUUUGUCCACCCACCCAUUUUAUUCCCUUUGGCACGUUGGCAGCAGGUCAGCCAGCAACAUUUCCAAGCGGGUCUUCAGUGAGUCUGAGAUAUUCCAAGAUCAGAUCAGAUAUUUAAUCCCUCAACAGAGCUAUGGGUCUACCUCAUGGCCCCAGAAAACCUCCAGGGAGGCUCCCCGAGAUCCUACAGAUACCUGGACCACCUCUGGUUUAGACAUCCUCUCACCAUAUAUCACUCAUGUUCUAAAACCAGCAGAUGGAAAGGUGAUUUUCCAGGUGAGCCCACUGACAGCACAUUUAGUCAGUGAGUCAUUCCUCCCCUCAGGUUGCCAGAUCUGCCUGAGAGGCUGAAGUCUGAGGGCUCUAUUAUCGUGUCCGCCAACGGCGCGGCGGAGGGUGGCAGACCCUGCGCAGUGGUAUUUUCGUCUGGCGGAGCCCGGCAUACAGCCAGUUUGUUUUUUUUUGUGGACUGGGGCGCACCAAGGUCCACCAAGCUGGGCGUGGUGGCGUAUCGGCAUACGUCACUGAUGCCUCACCGGCACCAGUGUCAGGCACAUUUCAGUGCAAUAAACAAUCAACAACAACUAAUAAUCUGAGUCAGCACAUACAUUUAGAGUCCAUGAUAUAUUCUGAUCUGAUCUGAUGAGCGCAUUUGGCACACGUUUGGACACUCAACCUGACCAAACUAACUCCUAGUUAGUUAUUUAAUUUAAGCCUACAUACAAAUAUCAUAAUAUUCAGUUUUGUGAGCCAAAUUUAUUUUAUAUGCCAACAUCUAUGAAAGAAAGAGCCAGGCCACGGAGCGCGAUGCGUCAUUUUCGCACAGAUGGUUCCGAUUUUAAUGCCAUUAUUGGUAUUUAUGUUGUGAUAUGUGCGCACAACCCACCUUUGUCAAGUGAGGUUUAAAUAUGUGUUACUUUAUGUGAGUGUCUUUAUUUGUGGAAAAGGAUGUUUGUCUUACCAGUGGGUACAACCUUUCACACACUUAAUCCCUCUGUGCUUAUAUGAGACAGUGGCUGUGUCCGAAAUGGCCUACUACUCCUACUACUCCUACUAACCCCGCCUCUGAAUUGAGUAGGCAGUGCGUUCACAUUGUACAGUAUGCGAAUUUUGUGUAUGCGAGAAAUGCCCGGAUGUAUACUCAAUCAGCUUCGAUUUCUGAGUGUGCAACGGAGCUUGCUUCACGUACUGCUUCUGCCCCACAAUGCAUUGCGCACCUCAGCUGGUAAUAUGGCCCUCCUUCCCGAGGCUGAAAAGAAAUAGAUGGCAUGUGAUUGCAAUAAUAAUGAUAUAUAUAUAAAUAGAUAAACAAUAUUUAGUCAGUAUACAUUACACAAUUUUCAUCAUUUUAUCAUAUUUUGAUCUUUUUACCAGAUUUAUUUGUAUUUUAAAUUAGGAUUAUAAGUAAUGUUUUUAACUACUCGUAUGAAUUGACUUUAUUUAUUUAAGUGUCUAUUAAAGAUGUAUUUAUUACAUCAAGUUUGAGCAUCUUCUCAUCUCUGAAUGCAUCAUCAAAGUGGUCGCUCAUAUUAAGCUCAGACCUCUGAUUAAUAAAAAUUAUUAUUGGUAGAGAGCACAUGGUUCAGAAUAUACAAACGGGGGAGUUUCCAGUUGACAAUGUAUGUGAGCUUUACUAAUUCUUACUUGUGAUUGAAAAUCUGAUGGUUUCUGAAAUAAUCAUUGUACAUGAAAAGAAUGUAGUCGGGAAAUGAUGUAUUUGCCAAGGAAUGACCGAACGAGUUCAUAAUAAUUAUGUUGUGUGUUGGUCAUUUUGCAGCCCUCUGCUGCUCAUCACACGCCUAGCAGGUGGUGUAUAGCAUUAUCACCAUGGAUACACGGAUGUUUGUGUGAUUUUUUUCAUCCACUGUCGCCCGGUUUGUGUCGUGUAGAUGUUGAUUAUGAAAAAACUUCGCAAUAAUUUGGAAACGUGAAGGGGGAGCUGCUGCUGCCCGGUGUUUACGGUAAAUAGACGCAAACACCGACCAAGUGGACGCUUCGGUCUCCGAAAACGCCGAGACAAAUUUACAAACAGCCACUAUUUCAAACAACUGGGCUCAUAAUCGUGAUGUAAACACUUACUUUCUCUCUAGAAAAAAUAUUAUUAUUGAAUGAAUUUAUAUAAUUUGUCCGGAAUGCAGUCGUUCUGUGUUGCUUGUGGUAGGACUAUUUAAAUUUUCCCGGCGCUGCGUCCGGCCGGCACGAAAUGCAUUCUGGGGUAUUUAGUAUGUAUGUGUGUAAACGCUCGGGCAGCCGCGGCAUACUCAUAUCAUCUUUGAGUAGUCAGUAGGCAGUAGCUACUGCUUGAGUAGGUAAGUAGAUAGUAGGCAGUAUGCCAUUUCGGACACAGCCAGUGUGCAGGACGCCCUCUGCAGCGCUUACAGCGACACAUGUUGAGGAGCUGCCUUCUGUUGCCGUCGUGUGGCAUUGCUGUCUUCAGACAUCUCUUGAUCUCUUUGACUACUUCACAAAAAUUUUAAUACGCUUCUGCGGUGGCAGAUUUAAAGGCGAGGAGAGGAGCUUAUGUUAUUGGUCAAUAAAGCUCUCGGCUGUGUUAAACCUGCUCCACGCUCUCUCUCCUCCCUCCCUACGACUUACGCCGCUGGGAGGAGCUCAGUUAGGGAGGGGGGAUACUUGCGCCGGGCUGCACCGCUCACCAAAAUACCAAAUUGUGCUUGGGAAUGCCUUGUCGGCGCGGUGGACCUGACUUACGCCAUGCCUGCGCCAUGACAUAGAGCUCUGAGUGUUGGUGUGUUCACUCAUUUAUCAUCCUGCCCUUGAUUUGCUGGUUAAAUACUUUCUUGUUGGUCUUACAGAUUUGUCUCUGUGUGAUUCUUGAUUUGAUUGUUUUGGGUUUUGUUACUCGCUGUGUUUCAACUUAAACCUUGACCUGUUUUUUUCUCCUGCAGACAUUUUAAAUAUUGACCAAAUUCUUACUUAAAAGUUGACCAUCCUGACAGGACAGGUUUUUAUCUACUGUUUUUUGAGGUCUGACCUGUCUGGACGCCAAAAGUGAUGUAUCUGUGUAGCGGUUUUAGGAGAUUCUACAUAAAUCUACCGCACAGGACAGAAAUUUGUUUACUUUGACAACCAGUAACAAGUCAGAAAAAAUGCUUCCACUUACUUUGGAUGCAUUUGGCUAUGCCAGAAAAUAACUGAACCAAGGGUCAGAUUCCAUCCUUUUCCAAAUCCAAGACUCUGAACAUCAAAUAGACUCUCUUGCCAUGGAGGCCUCCUGCCUCCAUGACAACAACACCAAUCUGCCCUGGCAUGGCCCUUCUCUCAUCCCUGACUCGGUGCACCCCAUCAUACAGUCUAUCUAGGAAAAUGACCAGGAUUGGCCUUGGCUUAGUGCGAAACCUUAAGUUCAGAACUGUUCCACACCUGCCUCCAUGGAACCUUUGACAGUCAUUCGGGGUAAGAAGCCUGGUCAGAACAACUCCCAAACUCCUUCAUCUGUUUCUACUCGUCCCUGAGGGACAUCCGGCGGGGGAACAGGUGCGAAGAACAAGAAAGAUGAACAAAAACCCAUUCAACAACCUGGAACCUCCUGCAGAUCCUGUCCCGGCAUCACUGAAGCUUCUGUCCUUGGGUCCAGUCAGAGCCUCUGCCCUGAAGUUAGGAGCAGGUAGACACUGUGCACCACCACAGCCUACCUCAUCAAGGAGAAGGAGCCCCAUGCUGUCAAGCAGAGAUGUGAAUUGUGGAGUCACCGAGUCAUCUCCAUGCCAUGUAUUUGUUCUGCUCAGUUACUGAACCAGGUGCCUUCACUAAUGAGCUCACCUUCCUGGCUGCUCACUGGAAGCAGCUGGUUCAGUGACAGAACAGAACAAAUACAUGGCAUGGAGAUGACUUGGUGACUCCACAAUUCCCAUCUCUGCUGUCAAGUGAGCCACAGCUUCAGCCUACCACUCCGGUGCUAGGGGACUCCAUUAUCCAGAAUGUCUGAUUAACUGUUGUUUUCCUGGAGCUACAGUCUGUAACAUUACCAGUAAAGUCACUGAAGUCAUCUUGACGAGACCAGGAAUCAUGACAGUCAUAAUCCACAUAGGUACAAAUGACAUCUGUAGACAGCAGUCUGAGCUCCUGAAAGCUAACUUUGUCCACUUAAUCACAACACUGCAGAGGUACAUAAACCACAUCCAUAUAUCCGGCCCCAUCCCCUCCUGUGGCUGCUGCUGUGGGUGUUUCAGUCGGCUGCUGGCACCACACACCUGGCUGUCAUCAGCCUGCAUUGCUCAUGGUGUUUACUACAUCAACAUCUUAAACCUUUUCUGGUGCAGGAGAGAUCUUUUUAAGUAGUGGAGCAGACAAAUGCAUAAUAUAGCCCGAAUCGUUCACUUUGUUAUACAAGCAUGAAAUUUGGUACAUAUACUCUUCAAACCCCACUCUUUUCAAAAAUAACGUUAGCCACGCAAAAUUCCAAGAUGGCGGCCCCAAAAUCCAAGCUGUCCGCCCCAAAAAUGCGGUUUUUCCUUUAUAACUCAAAAUGACUUGAUUUUAAGCCCCAUACAUAUAUUGAAGUUGAAUAUAAAGUUCGGUAUUGCGGACAUUUUGGUAGCCAGUACAUUUCUGUAUCCAUUACGGUUCUUGAGAUACAGCAUAUGGAUACUUGUACAGAAUUGGGAGAGUGAGAAAUUUGUAACACCGAUUGUUGUUACGUGCAUAUGGUUGCAUGAAAAUAUCAUUUCCAUUAUCUGUUAUUUUCAUGAAGGUUAUAACAUUAAAUUUGAAAAACAAGAUGGUGUCCAAGGUGGCUGCCAUUGCCUUGAAGUAAUCCGAUCUUAGUGACUAUGAAACAUUAACUUUUGGCAUGCACAUAUUUUUGGUCUAUGCAUCCAAUGGGGCCAUUGCAGUACAGAAUUUAGAUGUUUAUACAGUACAAGCUUGCAGAUGUAAUAGAGUGAAUAUCGGCACACAACCAGGGCACACUGGUGAUAUCACUGCUGUGUAACUCAGCAUGACCUCCAGGGGUUCUUUCAGCAUGAGAACCAGUCCUUCCCUGUUGCAUUGAGCAAGGGUGGAAAAUUGUACACUUGCCAGAAGUCUCAGCUGACCCCUAUCCUUGAGAAUUAUGUCCCACCUAGUUGGGUCACAAAGUGAGACUCUGUGACCAUCCUCUGGCAAGGAUGUUUUGACGAUUGAUUUGACCUCUAUGGACCCUUUAGAAAAGAUUUGGCCCCCAGGUCCCUCGCAAAAAUCCUGGCAUUUUUUGCUAGACAGCCAAAUUCAAGAUGGCGGCCGGCGCCAUCUCUAAAAAUUAACUUUUGAUCUGGAUGACCUAGAAUCAUGUAUGAAGGCACUUUUCCAUACAAGUCAACCAUGAGGAUUCCAAAUCUGACAUAGUUUUAAUCAUACAACUUUGUUUUGACCGCGAUAUUCAAGAUGGCUGCCAUCUAGUACUGUAAUUCUCAACCUUUUCAGGACUUGACCCCCCAAAACAAUCAUAUUUGAACUGGGUAACCCCCAAUUUGUUUGAGUCUGUUCCACAUAUAAAUAUUGUGAAAAUAGCCGAUCUACAAGCCUGUAACACCUUGUAUUGUGAGGCGUGUGAGCUUGCAGAUCGUCUAUUUUCUUUUUCUUAUAUUAUUUGACAAUUUGGCCAAUGGUUUAGCAUUGUUUGUUGAUUACUUUGGAUGCAGUGAGGAUCUUUUUCUUUGAGGAUCUUACAAGUCCUAACAUUAUCAUUAAACUGUCAUCUGGGGGUACGCCACCAACCAAUGAUCAAGUACAGAGAAAACUUAACUUAACAACAACAUAAAGGCCAGUGAUAUUGCACUCAAACUAUCCAGUAUGCUUGAUUCAUGUCAGCAGCAGUACUUAACUCAGGCAAUUUGAUUGGCUGUCCCUUCAUGUCAGGGAUCAUCUUUGGGUCGACUUAAUGGUAUAUGUGGCUUCAUUACACAGACUACCACACUGGAGAAUACAUGACAGUCUGUCUGUUCUUGUUGGUAUAUUAUUUUCUUCCAUAUUCAAGCAGCCAUGUAUGCUGCAUGCACACUGUCUUUACAGAUCAAAUGUGUAGCUCCUCUAACUGUGGGCUCAAAAGAAUGACUGAGGCAACAUUUAGGAAAGCAGCAGCACUAAACAAGCAGCAUGUGCUAACAUGCCCUGACAUGAAGGGACAGGAGGGUGGAGGGUGGCGGACCUCGCGCAGUUGUAUUUUCGUCCGGCGGAGCCCGACGAACCGGCGUACAGCCAGUUUGGUAUUUUCAUGGACUGAGGCACAUGGAGGCGAACCGAGAUCUGCCAAGCUGGGAGUGGUGGCGUGGCAGGGGGAGGUGUCGACAGAAUCAGCGGGCGCAGUGACAUUUUCGUGCUCGCCAAUGGCAUGUAAGUGCACUGAAAGCUCGCCGAUUCAAACCUGGUCAGCUUUCAGCGCAGGCGGAGUGCAGCUGGUCUACUAGUAUUUUGGUAGACCGACAGCAUAUCGGCAUACGUCACCGAUGCCUCACCAGCAGGUUUCCACAGUUUCAGGUAAAUUUCAGUGCAAUAAAUAAUCAUCAACAACUACUAAUCUGAGUCAGCACAUACAUUUAGAUCUAUAUAGAUAUAUUCUGAUCUAUAUCUGAUCUGAUGAGCGCGUUUGGCACACGUAUUUCUUGCGCAACUCGACCUGGACACGUCUCCGUGUCCUCUCUCUGUCCUGCUGCUGCUGAACAGAUGAUUUGUUUCAGUGAUCAGAUGAGUUAUUUACUUUAAGCCUACAUACGAAUAUUAUAAUAUUCAGUUUUGUGAGGCAAAUUUAUUUUAUAUGCCAACAUCUAUGAAAGAAAGAGCCAGGCCACGGAGCGCGAUGCAUCAUUUACACACAGAUGGUUCCGAUUUUAAUGCCAUUUUUGGAGUUUAUGUUGUGAUCUGUGCGCUCAACCCACCUUUGUCACGUGAGGUUUGAAUAUAUGCAACUUUAUGUGAGUGUCUUUAUUUGUGGAAAAGGGUGUUUGUUUUACCUGUGGGUCCAACAUUACACACACCAAAUCCAUCUGUGCUCAUAUGAGAGAGUGUGGAGGACGCCAAAUGCAGCGCUUACAGUGACACUUGUUGAGGAGCUGCCUUCUGGCAUUACUGUCUUCAGACAUCUCUUGAUCUCUCUGACUACUCCACGGAAACAGUAAUACGCCUCACUGAUGGCGGAUUUAAAGGCAAGGAGAAGAGCCUAUGUGAUUGGUGAAAACAGGUCUCGGCUGUGUUAAACCCACUCCACGCCCUCUCUCCUCCCUCGCUACGACUUACGCCGCUGGGAGGAGCUGAGUUAGGGAGGGGGGAUACUUACGCCGGGCUGCGCUGCUCACCAAAAUACCAAACUGUGCUUGGGAACGCCUUGUCGGCGCGGCGGACCUGACUUAUGCCGCGCCUGCGGCAUGUCUCCGGCGAGGCACGAAAUAGAGCCCCAUGUGUUACAGGCUUGUAGAUCGGCUACUUUCACAAUAUCUAUAUGUGGAACAGAGUCAAACAAAUUGGGGUUUACCCAGUUCAAAUAUGAUUGUUUUGGGGGGGUCAAGUCCUGAAAAGGUUGAGAAUCACAGUACUAGAUGGCAGCCAUCUUGAAUAUCGCGGUCAAAACAAAGUUGUAUGAUUAAAACUAUGUCAGAUUUGGAAUCCUCAUGGUUGACUUGUAUGGAAAAGUGCCUUCAUACAUGAUUCUAGGUCAUCCAGAUCAAAAGUUAAUUUUUAGAGAUGGCGCCGGCCGCCAUCUUGAAUUUAGCUGUCAAGCAAAAAAUGCCGGGAUUUUUGCGAGGGACCUGGGGGCUAAAUCUUUUCUAAAGGGUCCAUAGAGGUCAAAUCAAUCGUCAAAACAUCCUUGCCAGAGGAUGGUCACAGAAUCUCACUUUGUGACCCAACUAACCAGUUGACAAGGAACCUGAGGCAGACGUUCUCAUUGUAGAUGGGUCAGCUUUGGACCACGCCCUGCCACCAAAAAGAUCCAAGACAUUUGAGGACUAUGCAGCUCUCGACUUCCUACCUGUGAUCUACAUGUACUCCAGCAAGUACACAAUGACACAUCUGGUCUUUGAUGUGUAAAACCCAUCAAGCCUUAAAGCUGAGACCAGGUCCAAACGUGGCCAGGGGGGAAGACACAAGGUAACAAAUAAGAACACCAUGCUAUCUAACUGGCAUAACUUCCUGAGGCACAAUGACAACAAAACAGAGUUGUCCCACCCUUGCCGAAAAGGUUGCACAAAUGUUUGCCCUAAAUACCGUCAUCGUCACAAAGGGACCUGCUGUCCUCAGCACUCGUGCAACUGGUCUUGAUGGACUGGAUAAAUGCUCUCACGAGGAAGCGGACUGCCGCAUCUUUGUGCACGCCAAACAUGCAACUGGUAGCCAAGCCAUCAUGAUCAAGGCAAAUGACACAGAUGUUCUGAUCUUAGCAAUAAGUGUAUUCAGCGGUCUCCAAGAGGCUGGCCUACAGCAUAUGUGGCUUGCAUUUAGGCAAGGUCAGACUCUGCGCUGGAUCAGUGUGCAUGACAUAUUUCAGCAUGUUGGCCAGGAGAAGGUCAAAGGCAUGCUCUUCUUCCAUGCCUUUACAGGAUGUGACACUGUGUCUGCCUUCCGCAACAAAGGCAAGAAAAUGGCUUGGCAUACAUGGGACAUAUGUCCAUAAUCCUUGCCUGUAUUCGCCAAACUGGGUAUUUACCCUCCCACAGUGGAGGACUGCGACAUAGAGGUGCUUGAGAAGCUUGUCAUUCUCAUGAAUGACAGAUCCAGCACAGCUGCUACUGUGGAUGAGGCCAGGCUUGACUUGUUUGCCAGAAAGCAGAGGCCCUAUGAGUCUAUCCCACCAACCAGAGCAGCUCUACUCCAACACACCAGGCGUGCUGCCUAUCAGGCUGGUUGUGUGUGGGCCCAGGCAACCCAGUGUCAGCCAGAAGCAGAGGACCCUGCAGACUGGGGAUAUCAAAAUGUUGGUGAGGAAUAGCAGAUCUUCUGGACAGCCAACUCUCCAAUAGCCAAGAAGACAGCCUCCACGUGGCCUCCCCCUCAAGUAGCCAGAGAGUAGUUGCCCUUUAAGCGAAACAAAUGUCUUGGCAAUGUCCACAAUGUCCAACAGACCCCCCCCCCCCCCCCACCUCCCAUAUCCAGUAGUAACAGAAUCCAUUGAAAAAUCUCUUUUGUCACUUAUUUUGGGUUUCAAACUGAGGUGUUGAAUUUUGGAUUCUGGGCAAACAAACCACUAGGGGGCGCACCCAUAUUGUUUGCGGUGUUUUUUCAAAACCUUAUACACAUACCUAACACCAUAACAAAAAUCAGAAAAUUGUCACAAAAUGCCUAAUUUUUAACCUUUUUUGACAAGUUUCAUCCUUCUGAAUUCAUGAUUCAUCUCUGCUGAAUUCAUGAUUACUUCAAGGCAAUGGCAGCCAUCUUGGACACCAUCUUGGUUUUCGAAUUUAAUGUUACAACCCUCAUGAAAAUAACAGAUAAUGGAAAUGAUAUUUUCAUGCAACCAUAUGCACGUAACAACAAUCGGUGUUACAAAUUUCUCACUCUCCCAAUUCUGUACAAGUAUCUAUAUGCUAUAUCUCAAGAACCGUAAUGGAUACAGAGAUGUACUGGCUACCAAAAUGUCCGCAAUACCCAACUUUAUAUUCAACUUCAAUAUAUGUAUGGGGCAUAAAAUCAAGUCAUUUUGAGUUAUAAAGGAAAAACCACAUUUUUGGGGCGGACAUCUUGGAUUUUGGGGCCGCCAUCUUGGAAUUUUGCGUGGCUAACGUUAUUUUUGAAAAGAGUGGGGUUUGAAGAGUAUAUGUACCAAAUUUCAUGCUUGUAUAACAAAGUGAACGAUUAUUUCCUUAUCUGCUCAGCUAAAGGUUGAUGGUGUUGAUCCGAAGUUGCUGGGGGUAAAACUGCUUACGGGAAACAUUUUUCAAGGCGUCCUCCACCCAUGUGUAACAUUCUCAGGUAAACAAAUCACUGCACCCCCUUGAACGCCCUCUGAUUAGUCCCGCUACUAUUGAUGUCAUUGGUACUGUCUACGAGGAGCCAGGAUCCAUCCCACACUAUCAGUCCCACAACAAAACUCUACACCAGUAAACUGCUUUAAUUAUCACCCCUAACACCACUAACAAAUCAUAAAACCACUGAGGGGUGCUUAUAAAGAAUAUGAUAUGGAAUGCGGUGUUCCCCAGGGUUUGAUUCUCGGCCCAACACUUUUUAAUCUCUACAUGUUAUCUUUAUCUUCAUCAGGAGGCAUGGCAUCAACUUUCACAGCUAUGCUAAUGACACCCAGCUUUCGAUUGCCAUGUCUCCUAAUGACACAGAGCCCAUUGAUGCCCCCUUUAACUGUAUUUUAGAUGUCCAGUCUUGUAUGGCAGACAACUUUUUGCAGCUAAAUCAGGGCAACACUCAGGUUUUAGUUAUUGGUACAGAUCCAUAGAGAGAGGAACUGGAGCAAAAAAUUACCCUUAUUAUAUCUUAUUAUGGUUUUGUCCCUUUAGUCUUAGGUUCAGUGUCUCCUCAUUUUCAACUGAAGAGUCCUCACCUAGUCUUUUGUGUGUGCGUCUCUGUGUGUGAGCAUGUAACUGUUUUAGGUGUUGAAUGUGGGUCAAGAGGGUGGGUGGGGUUCUGUAUUUGGAUUUUAUUUAUUCUAUUUUCUCAGGACCAUGGGGCAAGCAUACCCAGGCAUACAGGUCCCUAUGUACUUGUACAGAUGCCAGUGCCUGUGGAUUUUUGCUUAUUCCUCUUCUGGACAGAUUUUGAUUUGCUUCUAGUUCUACAGCUUGAGGAGUUGUAUGACAAAUGAUAUAUCAAAACAUGUGGAUUGAUCAGGAUCAGUGUGCUAUUGCUUUGUUGCAUACACUAUGGGGGGGGGAAGUGCAUUGAAGUCAAUGGGACGAGCCAAAAACUAGCAAUUAUUGGAGUUUUUCAAACAUCUACCUGCUCUGCAUACUUUCACCUAGAGACUCCAUUCAAACUUAAAAAUGUAGAUACAAGUCUUGUCAAUUUGUGUAUUGAUUCACAUUUUGAUAGGUAGUGUAGUUUUUGAUCCAUCACUCUUCAAUGAUCAUGAUCAUUUUUGGAGAAAUUUUGAGAUUUAAUAGGUGUGUAUUGUAUGGGUGACAUCAUCAGCUAGAUUUAGAGAAGUUGCAUGAAAUCAUCUGAAACUUUUGUCUUUUCAUGCUCCUUCCAACCACAAAUUACACUCUGACGCAUGUUAUUUUUUUUCCACAGUUGAGGACACAUUUGUUCUGUCUCUAACAAUGUGUUCAUCUGAGCAGAGAGACUUGCAUAAUUUAAAUACUGAGCCUCAAAGUGCGGCAAUGUCUCUCUCUGCUCCUCAUUGACACUAAUACAAAGAUUUUCUGAGAGAAGCAGCAGGGACUCCUGUUUAUAACUUGCAAGUAUGUUAACUGUAGAAAACACCAAAAACACCAAAAAAUCAAAACAGUCAGAAAGUCAUUACAAUGACCACUCAACUGCUUUUUUUCUGAUAGGAGCUACUGCCUCAGUCUGCGGUGCAGCUAUAGUAAUGGGCAACCAGCACAAUUCACUAAUCAGGGACUGCUCUGAUAUCUCUGCAUCAUUGAAAUAUUUAAGAGCAAUUUGAUUGAUGAGCGAGAAAAAAAAAAAAAAAACCUGACUCAAAAUAUAAAAAAAACUUAUUUGAGCCACAGGGACAUAUACAGAGGAACUGGCCUUUAAACAAUUGACAUGCUACAUAUAAAUUCUACAGCAGGCCCCUGUAAAAUAAUGUUAUACACUACUGCUAUACUGUGGAUUUUUCAAUUUGUUACUGUUUAAUUCUUCUGUAAUUCGUUGAUGAGAUGACACAUGAGACUUCAGACUCUGAUAAUGCCUCAGGGUAGAUAGAGUCACUAUUCUUAAACUGUGGAUUUUUUCUUAUUCCUCCUCCAGACAAAUUUCGACUUGCUACUACAGUCUUACAGUUUGAAGAGUUGUAUGACAUAUUAAAUAUAAAAAUGAGCAGUUCAACAGGGAUCAGUUUGUUAUUACUUUUCUCUAUUGUAUUUGAAGUUUUGGCGAUGUUAGUCACAAGAAACUUUGCAUUGAAGUCAACGGUACAAGCCAAACAAAAAAGAAAGUAUUGGAGUUUCUCACACAUCUACUAGUAUGAUUCUGGUAAUUUAUUAUAUGAAUGAAUACUUGAAAAAGGAAUGGUAGUUGUAGGUGUGCCCCUUGUAUUUAAUAUCACAAUGCUACUAAUAUUAAUUUUUUGAAAUCUCUAAAGAAACCCCUCACACCCCAGCAGUGGCUGUCGUAGCCCUUUUAAAAUUUCCCAGAGGGAAUUAUCUAGUUAUUUUUAUAUCCUGCUUGCAUGGGCAGCACUUUGCUCUACAUUUUUUUGUGUGAAUGGUGCUAUUUAAAUAAAGUUUGAUUCAUAGAUUUAUUUGUUCUCAUCAGGCCAUCCCUACUGAAGUCUUCAUCUCUUAAAGGUCACUCUCCCCGUCCUGUCAACGUGAUACGACAGCGUAUAACAAGAUGAGUCUCUGAGAGCUCUCUGCAGUCUCCUCCUGCUGCAUCUCCCUUUAAAGUGACACUACUUCCUGUCUAUUUCAGGAGACUCCUUAUUAAAAUGACAUUGUUGUCAAGAAGUCUAAAGGACAAACUGAAGCAAGUUCAUUAAAUCAGUAUAAGUGAAGAGGUACUUUGAAAUGGGUCAUGACAGGCAUGACUGAGUCAUAAUGCAGAGCUGCAGUAAUGUAUGCCUUUAUAAAACUCAUUAUUAAAGCAGGGAGACCUUCCUUCUGAGACAAUGAUGAAGACUAAAAUAUCCUCAUAGUGUUAAUUAACAUUCAGCUGGGAGAAAUAUGAGCAUCACAGCCCAUUAAUACGAUAAUGAUGUCCAUCUUUGAGGCCAGUUAGGUGACUGAUUAUAUCACUGACUGGACUACAUUUUUUCACACAGUCCUGGAGCAGCAAUAAAGCUAAAAGACCUCCUGAAGCAGCUGCUGGUUUCUGGAGACUGGUGCAGCUGUCGUUCAAGUGUCCUGUUUUGGGGGCAAACUUGGUCUGAUUAGUUGGGACAGAAUUCAUCGUACUCGGGAUGGUGCGGCUCGUUUAUCCAGAAAUCUGACUGAUUUUGUUAGCCCUUGCUACUCUGGCCGGGGUGGUGGAGUUGCAGCUACUUAUAAUUCCAGUCUUAAAAUUAAUGUCUUCUUAGUUUCCCACAUCCAGCCUCAAAGACCACGAGACCAGUACUAUUUGCUCCCUUGCCCUCCCAAUCCAUACUAAGAGUUUUCUCAGUUUCUCAGUUUCUUUUUGAUCUAGUCCUCAGUGCAGACAAGGUCGUUGUUGUAGGUGACUUUCAUAUUCAUGUGGAUGUGGAUUAAGAUAGCCUUAGCAUUGCUUUCUUGUCUCGGUUAGACUCAGUUGAGUUUACACAGUGUGUACACAGACCUACACAAUGUUUUUACCACACCCUCGAUCUUGUCCUGGCUUAUGCCCUUGAAGCUUAAACCUUCUAAGUCAGCUUGCUAAAUCCCCUUUUAUCAGACCGCUUCCUUAUAGCUUUUGAAAAUGUGCUAUCAGGCUAUUCUCCUCACAAUAAAACGCCGCCAACUAGAAGGUUGUCUGAAAGUGCUGUAGCAAAGUUAAUGGAGGUAACUCUGUUUUCUCUUAAUUCAGCAUUUAAUCCAAUAUGUCAUUAUUAAUAGGAUAUGUCCUAGUCUUUGAAAACUGCAGUGAUUAAACCUCUUCUUAAAAAACCUACGCUUGACUCAGGCACUUUAUCUAACUCUAGACCGAUAUCUAACCUUCCCUUUAUUUCUAAAAUCCUAGAGAAAGGAUUUGUGGUUUGUGAUGUGAAUCAGCUUUGUGAUUUUUUUUUUCAUAGCAAUAGUUUUUUGGAGAAUUUUCACUAAGGAUUUAGAGUCCAGUAGGUGACAAAUGACCUACGUAUGGCUUUGGACAAUGGUUUUCCCUCUGUUCUUGUCCUGCUAGAUCUUUGUGCUGCAUUUGAUACAUUCGGCUAUCACAUCCUGCUACAGAGACUAGAACAACCAAUUGCAAGAACUGCUCUAUCCUGGUUUAAAUCCUUUUUACCAGAUCCCAGUUUGUCCACGUUAAUGAUAAAUCCUCUGUGCAUACCAAAGUCAGCUACGGUAUCCCACAAGGUUCAGUGCUUGGACCAAUUCUUUUCACUUUUAACAUGCUUCUCUUGGGUAAAAUUAUGUGGAAAGACUAGGUUAAUUUUCACAGUUAUGCAGUGGACACUCAGUUAUUCUUAUCCAUGAAGCCAGGAGGAACAAAUUGGGUGUAGCAGAGAUGACCACUUUUACAUCCAAACUCCCAAAGGAAUGUAAGGCUUACAUCUGGUCACUGGAGAUGAGAUGGUGUAGACCUUUAACACCAAAUCACAACCUUUCUACAACCUCCUGUCUUUAGAAGACAACCAAAGAAGCCUUCUCAAAAGGACAAACCUUUUAUCCUUUCUACUUCAAAAGACAGAGACAGGAUAGUUUAUUGCCAGCAGGAAAGAACUGCAGGACCACUCAAUCAGUUAAACAUUUGUCAUCACACCUUGACUGGAAAGUGACAGGUUUAUCAGUUUAACCAUAAAUAUUAACUAUGGUUGAUCUUCCCUGUGUUCUCUUUGAGUACAAUCCAAAGAGAAUAACUACAACUAGUCUUAUUACAGGUUGGGUGGACACUGCACAACGAUCUUCUGUCAGUACUAAACAUUUGCAGUAAAACAGUCUUUGUCCCAUUUGUCGAUCAUGUUCAUAAGCCAAGAUCUCUGUAGCGAUUUGAAUUGAUAAUAAAUGUCUUAAGAUUAAUAAUUGAUAAUAAUCUUAAUUUAUGAUAUUUAUGCACUCGUUGAAAGGGGCACCACCCACACUUCAUGGUGGGAAAACAAAGAAAAACAAAAGUUUAAUUCAGAAAUCAAACAUUAAGUCAAUCUUAAAUUAAUCAAUCUCAUAUCUCAAGCUGAAAUUCUCAUUUCAGGGACUCCACUUGGAAGAAAACUAACAGACAAGAACGAAAAAUAAUGAUCUGUUUAUUACAGGAUAAAUGAUGGUACAACAUACAUGCAAUAAAUGAUGAUAAGAAAAUGAGGAUAGAUAAUAAUAGGUGAGUAAUAAAAGAUUCUGAGUCAGGCUAGUACAGGAUAGUAAGUGAAUAUGCUCUAACAUAUUAACCUGCAUUAACUUUGGUGUCAAGAUAAAUUGAAUGUGGAUUUGGAUGAAUUUAGGAUUAUAAAAUAAAGAAAAAAAUUCAAUCAUUUAGCAUGAGACAGCAUCAGCCCUGUUUGGAACUCUGGAGGUUUGCAUACUUAAGUGAAAUUGGCCCUUGGAGAAGAUGGAGCAGGUACGGAAGGUCCAGGGCUACCGGCGGUUCGAGAGAUUCAGCUCAGAAGAUGACCGAAGUUAGCCGAAAGAUGGGCCAGGAGUCGCAGCACUCAGGCCCGAAGCAAAAAACAGCGCUUAAUAUAUCCUUUGGAUGCUUCUUUGGUCUCACAAAAACUCUGGCACAGAGGAUGACUGGGCCUGCUGGGUGGCAUUCAGGGGUGACUUUGCAAUCACGGAGAUUAAAAAGUAGGCUUGAUGGCCAGUCGAAACUGUAGUGAUUUAAAUGAGCCUCACACGGUCGCACCAAAAUAUAUGUAGCGAUUUGAAAUGAGCCUCACAAGGCUGCACCAAAAUAAUACUGUAGCGAUUGGAAUUUAUAAUAAAUGUCUGAAGAUUAAUAAUCUUAAAUUAUGACAUUUAUGCACUGGUUGAAAGGGGCACCACCCACCCUUAAUGGUGGGAAAAUAAAGAAAACAAAAGUUUAAUUCAGAAAUCAAACAUCAAGUCAGUUUUAAUUAAUCAGUUUUAAUUAAUCAGUCUCAUAUCUUAAGUCGAAAUUCUAAUUUCAGGGACUCCACUUCUGGAAGAACACUAACAGACCAGAACUUAGAAAAAUAAUUAUCUGUUUAUUACAGGAUAAAUGAUGGUACAACACACAUGCAAUAAAUGAUGAUAAGAUAAUGAAGAUAAAUAAUAAUAGGUGAAUAAAUAAAGAUUCUGAGUCAGACUAGGAGCACUAAAGUUAAUGAUAGUGAGUGAAUAUGCGCUAACAUAUUAACCUACACUAACUUUGGUGUCGAGAUAAACUCGGAUGUGGAUUUGGAGGAAUCUAAGAUUACCAGAAUAAGUGGAUAUCUGAGUUAUGAACGCAGGAGACAGCACCAGCCCUCUUUGGAGCUCUGGAGGUUUGCAUACUUAAGUGAGACUGGUCCUUGGAGAAGAUAGAGCAGGUUCCGAAGGUCCGGGGCUACUGGCGGUUCAAGGGGUUCAGCUCAGAAGACGACUGAAGUCAGCCGAAGGAUGAGCCAGGAGUUGCAGCACUCGGGCCCGAAGCAAAGCCAGCGCCUGUGGAUCCUGUGGAUGCUCGUUUGGGUACUUCUUUGGUCUCACUCAAAACUCUGGCACAGAGGAUGACCUGGGCCUGCUGGGUUGCGUUCAGAGGUGACUUGAAAUCACG
This is a non-coding RNA of Xyrichtys novacula (pearly razorfish), 21907 nucleotides long. The record is from the annotation of a GenBank genome assembly. Lineage: Eukaryota; Metazoa; Chordata; Actinopteri; Labriformes; Labridae.